This 460-nucleotide ribosomal RNA is filed under the name uncultured bacterium. RNAcentral's name for it is "partial 16S ribosomal RNA". It matches the Rfam family "Bacterial small subunit ribosomal RNA", at positions 338 to 795 of the family's 1533-position model. The record is from RNAcentral.
CCUACGGGUGGCAGCAGUGAGGAAUAUUGGUCAAUGGGCGGAAGCCUGACCCAGCCAAGUAGCGUGCAGGAUGACGGCCCUACGGGUUGUAAACUGCUUUUAUACGGGAAUAACGCGCCUUACGUGUAGGGCUUUGCAUGUACCGUAUGAAUAAGGACCGGCUAAUUCCGUUCCAGCAGCCGCGGUAAUACGGAAGGUUCGCGCGUUAUCCGGAUUUAUUGGGUUGAAAGGGAGGGUAGGCGGCAUGUCAAGCGUGCUGUGAAAUGUCCGGGCUCAACCCGGGCCUUGCAGCGCGAACUGGCGUGCUUGAGUCCGCGGAAGGCAGGUGGAAUUCGUCGUGUAGCGGUGGAAUGCUUAGAUAUGACGAAGAACCCCGAUUGCGAAGGCAGCUUGCUGCAGCGGAACUGACGCUGAUGCUCGAAAGCGCGGGUAUCGAACAGGAUUAGAUACCCCAGUAGUC